UAGGGAAUAUUGGGCAAUGGUCGCAGACUGACCCAGCCAUGCCGCGUGCAGGAAGACGGCCCUCUGGGUUGUAAACUGCUUUUAUCUGGGAAGAAAAAGUCCAUGCGUGGAAAAUUGCCGGUACCAGAUGAAUAAGCACCGGCUAACUCCGUGCCAGCAGCCGCGGUAAUACGGAGGGUGCAAGCGUUGUCCGGAUUUAUUGGGUUUAAAGGGUGCGUAGGCGGCUCAAUAAGUCAGCGGUGAAAGACUUCGGCUUAACCGGAGCAGUGCCGUUGAUACUGUUUAGCUUUAGUGUUGGAGGGGUACAUGGAAUUGAUGGUGUAGCGGUGAAAUGCAUAGAUACCAUCAGGAACACCGAUAGCGAAGGCAUUGUACUGGCCAACAACUGACGCUCAGGCACGAAAGUCUGGGGGAUCGAACAGGAUUAAAUACCCUGGUAGUCCACACCGUAAACGAUGAUUACUCGCUGUUAUGGUGUAUGCUGUAGCGGCCAAGCGAAACUGUAAGUAAUCCACCUGGGGAGUACGCCGGCAACGGUG
This 539-nucleotide ribosomal RNA is filed under the name uncultured Bacteroidota bacterium. RNAcentral's name for it is "bacterial SSU rRNA". It matches the Rfam family "Bacterial small subunit ribosomal RNA", at positions 355 to 896 of the family's 1533-position model. The record is from RNAcentral. Lineage: Bacteria; Pseudomonadati; Bacteroidota.